Culex pipiens pallens (northern house mosquito) is the source of this 2138-nucleotide long non-coding RNA. RefSeq lists it as uncharacterized. The transcript is spliced from 2 exons. The record is from RefSeq and is a predicted model, not a curated record. Lineage: Eukaryota; Metazoa; Arthropoda; Insecta; Diptera; Culicidae.
UAAUAAAAUAAUGCUCCCAUUAUUCUUUUAAUUUAAGACAGUGAUGACAGAUCGUUUAUAUUUUACAUAAAUUUGUCCACAAAGGCAACGUUCAACGCUUCUAUUUAUAUCAUUCACCGACUUUCUACCCACAACUCCUCGUCAAAACGGAAGCAAUCAACUAAUUUGUCCUUCAAAUGGCUUCGCGAGACGGUUAUCUAUUAAUCCAUUAGCGAAACCGGCACAAUACAACUUCGCGUACGUCGUCCGUCGCCGUACGUGCACAGUCAAUAACCUAAACAAUACACGCGUGACUGUUAAGAUUACGAUAAGCUCCAGCCACUUCCAAUUAACUAAUUAAAAUCUUAAAGUGUCUCGCCAAAUGUGGGCCCUUUUGCGCUGACGAUCCAAGUUGGUGCGUCUCAUUCUAUUCUUACGUCAACAGAGACGAUAUUGUCGCUUUCGUCGAAAAACUCGCAAUCAUCCCAGAAGGGCUUGCUACGAUCAUUCACCACCGCCGCCCGCAACUUGACACUAAUGGAACGAAUCCAGCGUGGAAUAACAAUCGAAAAUGGCAAAGCACGAGCGUGUCUGCAAUGCUCGAUGCGCGAGUUCGACGGCCACGGAGCGUCGCGACGCUCACGCGGCGCUCACGAGUGCCCGAACGCGAACGCGUUUCGACAUUUAUGCUUUCGUCGAUUCGCGAAGCCGGACCAUGUUGCGCGAGCUUUUUCCCUUCUCUUUUGUUGGUUUGUUAUGAGGGGGAAGCUUUUGACCCGAAGUUGCUGUCGCGGGAACUCACCCGAAGUCGACCGACGGCGUAUGUCGACCGGCGCGCGGCGUCGCUCGCGUCAGUCUCACUCUGGACGUCGUACGCAGAGGACGCGUGCUCCGGUGCUCACCACGUGGCGUGUGACGAUUUUCGGGUUGUUUUAUUUGUUUUUUUUGGUUGUCGUUUUUUGGUGCUUAUUUUUAAGCGUGUUCGCCGUGCGUUAGUGUUCGUGCGUGUGUGUGUGUGUGUACAGAGAGAAGUAGGCGGCGACGACGACGACGCGCGAGUUCGCGAAAAGUUCUUCUUCUCGACGACGCGACGCAGCGCAUACUUGGAUUCUUUUGGGUGCGCGGUUAGCCUAGUUCUAAAUUAGUCUGCACCUUUCCCUUGUACAGUGUAUAGUGUACAGCAAAAAUAGCUUAAUUUGUUAUUUUGUUUUUAACGCUCUGUACAAAAAAAGCAGCAAAAAAAAAAGAGUUCUUCUCACUCGUGUCGACGCGGGAUUUCUUCUGCGACAGUUGAGUUUCGAGGAGUCGUUCCAAAAGUUGUGUGCACUUAGCCGCCAUCGGCUCAGCUGUGAAGUCAUUCUCAAGUGUGAUAGUUAAGUGCCUUUCUUGAUCGCGAAGAUCACGCGCGAGCGUGUUGUAUGUUUUGGUUGGAGGUGACACACACCGAAAAAAUAAAGGCUAUAAAUACAAAAAUAAAACCGUUCUGACAAGAAACGAAGUUAUAAAUACACACAACAUACUUACACAUACAGUCGCGCGCAAGUCGCGAGUGUGCUCACGUGCAACAAGCCAAGUGAAGAGAAGAGAAGAUAAAAAAUCAAGAAAUAUUCUGCAGUAUCACGAAUGUUUUUAAAUAAGAAGAAGCGAAGAAGUUAAAACAAGGAAAGCAAAACUACCGAAAGGAAGCAACAGCAACAACAACAAAAAGGAGUUUAGCGGGUCGAUCCAAGUUGGCCUUUGCGAGAAUUCGUCCGGUUCAUAAGUGUGUUUGUGCGCUGAAAAAGGAGAUCAAAGCAGGCAGAGUGAACGUGUGUGGAUGUUUUAAGAGCCAGGUUUUUAGCGGUUCUUGGUCUUGUUCUUGGUGGUGCCGGUGUUCUUGCUGUUAAAGUGGUUCGAACAAGUCAUUAAAGGAGAGAGAGAGGAAGAGAGAGUUGAACGAGUUGUUGAGUUGAGCUGCCGGUUGUUCCAGAGUUUUGCAAGGAGCCAUUGAUCAGCAGACGAACGGGGAAGAUACUUGCUUCACGCAUUUUGGAUUAAAAAGUAAGUCUCCUGCCUCAAGUCAAACGCGUUCGUCAAGUUCGUCAAUUAAGUAAGAAUUAUUCAUAAGUUCUGCUCAAGCGGGCUCGACCUCUUUGUGCGAUUUCGCGCGUUUCUCACGA